UACGUAGGGUGCAAGCGUUAAUCGGAAUUACUGGGCGUAAAGCGUGCGCAGGCGGUUUUCUAAGUCUGUCGUGAAAUCCCCGGGCUUAACCUGGGAAUGGCGUUGGAGACUGCGAGGCUAGAGUUUGGCAGAGGGGGGUAGAAUUCCACGUGUAGCAGUGAAAUGCGUAGAGAUGUGGAGGAACACCGAUGGCGAAGGCAGCACCCUGGGUCAAAACUGACGCUCAGGCACGAAAGCGUGGGGAGCAAACAGG
RNAcentral lists this ribosomal RNA (253 nucleotides) under uncultured bacterium. Its description in RNAcentral is "partial 16S ribosomal RNA". It matches the Rfam family "Bacterial small subunit ribosomal RNA", at positions 524 to 776 of the family's 1533-position model. The record is from RNAcentral.